Molecule: long non-coding RNA, 671 nt
Filed under: Setaria viridis
Lineage: Eukaryota; Viridiplantae; Streptophyta; Magnoliopsida; Poales; Poaceae
Description: long non-coding RNA (SVIR_LNC001465)
Source: RNAcentral
ACUAAGUUGAUCAACUGGUAGUAGGCUUCACACAACUACCUGUACGUAGUUGUCUAUCACUCCCGGAUAAAGAACCGAUAGUGAAAUAACCCUCACUCCCAGUUUAUGUCACCAGACGGGCUAACUAAGUAGCCAUUUUUUUGGCCACUGUAAGGUAAUAACCAUUUCGCAUGAUACUUUCUGACCAAUAUAUACCAUGCCACCCUUUCUUCCUAAGAGAAUACCACAACCAAUCAUCAUCACCCACAAAGAACUUUGACUCUGUGCUCAAGGUAGCUACCAAAUGUCCGGGUAGGUUUGGUCAAGUAUCUAUGAAGAAGAAGAAUGCAAGCAUCCAAACUGAAGGAACUGAGAGGCAUCGGGGAAAUAAAUUGACACUGUCCUGUCCUUCCAUCCUAGAAUGGGCCGAAGAGACGGUCAAAAUGGCUCAGAUCGUCGGCUAGCAGAACUGACUGGCAAAAGUUUGUAUUGUAUGGAGCUGAUUGUCAUGUUGUUGUUAGCUAGGCGGGCCGAUCAUGUCGGCACAAGGGGCUUCAAGUGGUUUAUUUCAGUGUUUUCCAUUGGUCCGAGCUUUCACAUAUUUCACACCAGCUACCGAUGUUUCAGCCACUAGUUAGCUUGUAGAAAACAAUAUAUAGUGCUGUGCAGCCUAGUGGUUACAGUCACUUAGU